Molecule: ribosomal RNA, 253 nt
Filed under: uncultured bacterium
Lineage: Bacteria
Description: partial 16S ribosomal RNA
Rfam family: Bacterial small subunit ribosomal RNA
Source: RNAcentral
UACUGAAGGUGCAAGCGUUAAUCGGAAUUACUGGGCGUAAAGCGCGCGUAGGCGGCUUGGUUAGUGAGAUGUGAAAUCCCCGGGCUCAACCUGGGAACUGCAUUUCAUACUGCCAAGCUAGAGUAUGGGAGAGGGCUGUGGAAUUCCAAGUGUAGCGGUGAAAUGCGUAGAUAUUUGGAGGAACAUCAGUGGCGAAGGCGGCAGCCUGGCCCAAUACUGACGCUGAGGUGCGAAAGCGUGGGUAGCAAACAGG